Molecule: ribosomal RNA, 484 nt
Filed under: uncultured bacterium
Lineage: Bacteria
Description: partial 16S ribosomal RNA
Rfam family: Bacterial small subunit ribosomal RNA
Source: RNAcentral
AUUGAACGCUGGCGGCAGGCCUAACACAUGCAAGUCGAGCGGAUGAAGGGAGCUUGCUCCUGGAUUCAGCGGCGGACGGGUGAGUAAUGCCUAGGAAUCUGCCUGGUAGUGGGGGAUAACGUCCGGAAACGGGCGCUAAUACCGCAUACGUCCUGAGGGAGAAAGUGGGGGAUCUUCGGACCUCACGCUAUCAGAUGAGCCUAGGUCGGAUUAGCUAGUUGGUGGGGUAAAGGUCUACCAAGGCGACGAUCCGUAACUGGUCUGAGAGGAUGAUCAGUCACACUGGAACUGAGACACGGUCCAGACUCCUACGGGAGGCAGCAGUGGGGAAUAUUGGACAAUAGGCGAAAGCCUGAUCCAGCCAGGCCGCGUGUGUGAAGAAGGUCUUCGGAUUGUAAAGCACUUUAAGUUGGGAGGAAGGGCAGUAAGUUAAUACCUUGCUGUUUUGACGUUACCAACAGAAUAAGCACCGGCUAACUUCGUG